This 253-nucleotide ribosomal RNA is filed under the name uncultured bacterium. RNAcentral describes it as "partial 16S ribosomal RNA". It matches the Rfam family "Bacterial small subunit ribosomal RNA", at positions 524 to 776 of the family's 1533-position model. The record is from RNAcentral.
UACGUAGGGUGCGAGCGUUGUCCGGAAUUAUUGGGCGUAAAGGGCUCGUAGGCGGUCUGUCGCGUCGAAAGUGAAAACCCAGGGCUUAACCCUGGGCCUGCUUCCGAUACGGGCAGACUAGAGGUAUGCAGGGGAGAACGGAAUUCCUGGUGUAGCGGUGAAAUGCGCAGAUAUCAGGAGGAACACCGGUGGCGAAGGCGGUUCUCUGGGCAUUACCUGACGCUGUGGAGCGAAAGUGUGGGGAGCAAACGGG